Molecule: long non-coding RNA, 659 nt
Organism: Alexandromys fortis (reed vole)
Lineage: Eukaryota; Metazoa; Chordata; Mammalia; Rodentia; Cricetidae
Exons: 6
Source: RefSeq, a predicted model, not a curated record
GCCGCCCUGAGCGAGUCCAGUCCGGCCAGAGCGGCGAAGCAGAGGGAGUCGGCCUGGGCAGCUGCGGAGCCUGACCGCCCUCUCUGUCUGCAGUGUUUCCCUUUGCCAAGUCAUCUUGUGGGUACCACCUUCAAGCCCCAGAGCUAUGGCACAGAGUAUCUGUGAAGAUCUAUAGAGUGGAGGAGUCUGAAUCAUGAACCACUGCCUGGCUAGACACAUCCACAUUGGACUGCUAAGAGUGAGAUAUGACUUGUGUUGCUCCGACCAAACAGACCCGUGAGAGAUGUGUGUGAGAAACUCAAGGAAGCAGCCACCUACUUCGGAAGCUACUAAAUGCCAAUAUCACCUCAGCUAGUGAUUGGAUAUAUGUCCACCUCUCCAGACACACCCAGUUUCCAUGGUUUUUCUGAGGUUCCUAUUUGAAGUUGUGGCCAGACCAUUGGAAGAAGGUGUACCAUUUAAGCUAACCAAGUUGGAACCAUUUUGAGCAGCUGGUACCCAAAACUGGUCUUAUAGUAGUGCUAUCAGCAUCAUGCUGUCAAAUCAAACAGGUGGAGUCAUUGUUGUGAGGCCCAACCUUCUUCCUGGAAACAAAAACUUAAACAGUAUUUAUAUAGACAGAUUUUCAGCAAAAGCUAUAAUAAAGACAAAAAUAAGUA